GACGGUUCCCGGUAGGCGAGGCGGGAGGAACGGGGAGUAGCGGCGGUGGUCCCAGCCCGGCGGUGGUCCCGGCCCGGCGGUGGUCCCGGCCCGGGCGGCGGUCCCGGCCCGGGCGGCCCUGAGGCCCGGGCGUAAACGGCCUGUUGGCGGGGGGUCAGGCCCCCCGGGCGGCGUGCGUUGUCCCCGGCCGCCCUCUGUAAUACUUCCAGCCACCGUACCGUCAAUAUUUGGCAGGUGAGGUGGGAGGGGCCUGGGUUUGCACCCCUGGGGCAGGGAGAGCAGGUGCCUGGUGCGGAGGUGGGGGAGUGCGGCCGGUCAAGAUGGAUCCUGCCUUCCCCCACCGCUACGCCCAGUCCUGUGAGGUGAGCCUGGCCCUCUUUCCUCUCCAGUGGUUGCCUCUGCCAGCAUAAGGAGAGCAGCACCAUCUGUCUUCUGCUUUCCUUUUUCCAAGUCCUACAUGCUUCACAAAUUGCCAGCGUUCAGCCUACAAGUAGCACUCCAUACAGUGUGAUUUGCCCUUUUUUUUUUUUUUUUAAUUCUUCCACUGCUCCAUUGCUGUUUUCUCCACUAUGAAGAGCAGCAAAGAAUGAGUGGAGUUGGGGUCCAAGAGAGAAGACCAGAUCACUUUAAAAGGAAGGAGGGAGAGAAUGAAAAUAUAACUUCUCAGCCCUCUUGCCGAUUUUUCAUGCAAAAAGGUUAAUAGCUGAAGGAUAUGCUCUGGCCCACAUGCUUCACCAGCGCAGGAGGUGGCAGGUUUCAGGACUAGAGCAGCCAUCGGUAGGUUCCAGCACGGCAAGUUCUGUGUUCCUUUGAUUAAGAGACUGGGUGCAAAGGGCCAACCAGCCAGUCAGUUUUGGGGAAAAAAUCCAGAAACAAAAAGGAAUUGAAGCAAUCCAUUCCUUUUGAAGAUAAAGGUGAGGUGGUACACGUCACCCUAAUUGCUGAGCAUCUCUGUAUUGCCUGUGUUACAUUCGCAGGUCAAAUGCAGUGUGAAGGCAAUGUGAAAAUCUAACUGCCAAGGCAUCUGGGCUAUGUCAGAAAGACUUGCUGCUCUCUGCUUUCUUGGAGCUAAAAGAAAAUUCAAUACCCCAGUCCAGCGAUACCCCAUGUUGUGUCCCGGUCCGAGACUCACAGCCCCACUCUUGCGGGAGGAAAAUGCUGCAUCUUUGGAAAACCUGGGUGAAAUUUUAAGUGGCACAGCAGGAGUAGAACCCAAGGCCUUCUGCUGGUUCACUGUUACCCAGCACAUUUUGGACUUGUCUGUCCAAAACUUUGGAUGAUGUCAGUGAGGUAAGUGGUGUAAAAUUGCCGUUCUGUCUGGGAGAUGUUAGAUCCAUUUGCUUUCGCAAUGUCCUGAUGUGUGUGGCCGUACAGGAGUGUGGCAGCAACUCCUCUAAUCUUCAGCCUAUUACUGUAGUGGAAAAAAUAACAUAGAAAUAUCAUGUAAUUUAUUUUUUUUUAAAUUGUGGGUUUUAAAAAAAAAAGGCCUCCCAAUUCUCCUGUCACUAGUUGCAGUCCAGGAAACUUUGUGUUUAUUAAGUACUGUGUAAAUUUGCAGCUCUCUAUAAAUGUAAAAUCAAUAGCAAUGAUAACAGCAGCAAAGUGCUUAGUCCAGCUCUGGUAAUAACCCAAGACUGCUAACUUCUUGAUAAGGUCACUAGCUUUACACGGGCACCUCCUCUCCAUGCGAAAGCACAGGGUGCAGAACAGAAGAUCCUUGUCUUCCCUGACAAGAAAGGAAACACUAAAAACAUGUAAUUUCCAGUCGGUGACAAUGGCAGGCAACAACCUGAAGGACUCUCUUAAAAUCUACUGUGGGGGCCUUAGCCCCUCCGCGGAGUGCUGCAAACACACUUCCUCUUCUAGGAAAUUAAAAUCUUAACAAACAUCU
Molecule: long non-coding RNA, 1891 nt
Organism: Harpia harpyja (harpy eagle)
Lineage: Eukaryota; Metazoa; Chordata; Aves; Accipitriformes; Accipitridae
Exons: 2
Source: RefSeq, a predicted model, not a curated record